This 394-nucleotide ribosomal RNA is filed under the name uncultured bacterium. RNAcentral describes it as "partial 16S ribosomal RNA". It matches the Rfam family "Bacterial small subunit ribosomal RNA", at positions 338 to 729 of the family's 1533-position model. The record is from RNAcentral.
CCUACGGGAGGCAGCAGUGAGGAAUAUUGGUCAAUGGACGCAAGUCUGAACCAGCCAUGCCGCGUGCAGGAAGACGGCUCUAUGAGUUGUAAACUGCUUUUGUACGAGGGUAAACGCACAUACGCGUAUCUGUUUGAAAGUAUCGUACGAAUAAGGAUCGGCUAACUCCGUGCCAGCAGCCGCGGUAAUACGGAGGAUUCAAGCGUUAUCCGGAUUUAUUGGGUUUAAAGGGAGCGUAGGCGGUAGGAUAAGUUAGAGGUGAAAUCCCGAGGCUCAACUUGGGACUUGCAUCUGAUACUGUUCGGCUAGAGAGUAGUUGAGGUAGGCGGAAUGUGUGGUGUAGCGGUGAAAUGCUUAGAGAUCAUGAAGAACACCGAUUGCGAAGGCAGCUUAC